CCGCGGUGGGGAGUGAAGCUUUCGGAGUGUAAACCCUUUCGACCCGGACGAAUGCCUCGCAAGAGGACUGACGGUACGGGUAUAAGAAGCCCGGCUAACUACGUGC
RNAcentral lists this ribosomal RNA (106 nucleotides) under uncultured bacterium. RNAcentral's name for it is "partial 16S ribosomal RNA". The record is from RNAcentral.